UUAUUAUUGUAAAAUUUCGAGUUUAUACGGAAAAAAAUAAAUCAGUCGAGAUUCAUAAGUACGAAGCUCUGUCUCCUGAGCAUUAUAUUUCGCCUUUGUCAUCUAAUUCAAUUACAUCUCUGUAUUUCCUUGGGAACCUUCUCAAGAACGAGAAAGUUUUAAGUUUCUAAGAAUUUUAUCACAUGGAGCCGCGGCGAAGACGAUCUUCUGAGGAGGUAAACAGAAGUUAGGAUAUAGACUACUCAGGCGCGGAGCGAUAAGCUUCCACCUCCGAAGCCUCAGUUACUAGUGUAGUAGUUCGUAACAGUCUGCUCCACCGUUUUGGUCUGACCGACCUGUUUGAUUCAGUUUUUCGCCGCGCCGGUGAGCUUUGGCAUACCCAGAUCUUAACUGGUUUAGCCAAUCACAUUUCCAGAUUCUCAUCUCCCAUGGAACCAGUUCCAUUGCCGCCUCCUCUUCCUCCUUUGAAUUUUUUUUAGAUUUGUGACAUGGUGGCUGUUGAUCGGCUAUUGAACCUCACUCGUAUUUCCUGAGGUUGACAAAACAUCUUUUUGGGCUGAUCCUUGAAAUGGGUUUUCUUUGUUAUAUCGAUUGGUGUCUGCCCCUUGAUAUUAACUAUAAAGGAUGCUGAUUCUACAACAGAGAAACAGAAUGAGGAUCUGAUGCAGUGUCUUCUCAGCCAAAUGAAAAUAGUCAAGUAUGUGCUACGGAUUUACGGGAAGUUUGAAUUUUUUUUCUUUUUUCUAUUAGCUUUUGUAGCUUACUUACACUCAUUGUUUGACAUUCUACCAUUCUUGGUUCAUUUUUGCAGGCAGGUUACAGUGUCAAAGAUAAUUUAACGAAAGUGAAUAUCUGAGAUAGUGGCUGCUUUUGUUGGACAGACAUUUACAUAUUUUUCGAGACAAUACCAAUUUUAGCUAGAUAUUAUUGUACAUGCCAAAUCCAGUUGACAAAAUCAAUACAUAGACGGAUAUCAUUUCAGAUUAUCUAUUCAAAUUCAUUAUUAGACGGCUAACAAUAUUUAAUUAUGUAUAACAAUUAAGUUAUCAGUCGAAUUAUGCAAAAUAUUUUAAAAC
Raphanus sativus (radish) is the source of this 1076-nucleotide long non-coding RNA. RefSeq lists it as uncharacterized. The transcript is spliced from 4 exons. The record is from RefSeq and is a predicted model, not a curated record. Lineage: Eukaryota; Viridiplantae; Streptophyta; Magnoliopsida; Brassicales; Brassicaceae.